AGUGAACGCUGGCGGCAGGCCUAAUACAUGCAAGUCGAGCGAACAGACGAUGAGCUUUCGCCUUCGAGGGUAGCGGCGGACGGGUGAGUAAGACGUAGAUAACCAACCAAUAAGUCGGGGGUAACUUCGUGGGACAAGAUAUGAUAACGGCUAAUAUGACGUACGGGAGAGUUCAAGGGAGAAAGGUACCUUUGGUGAUAGAUUUAGCUGAACUUGGGCCGUAUUAGCUAGUUGGUAAGGUAACGGCUUACCAAGGCAACGAUCCGUAGCCGACCUGAGAGGGUGAUCGGCCACACUGGAACUGAGACACGGUCCAGACUCCUACGGGAGGCAGCAGUGGGGAAUCUUCCGCAAAGGGCGAAAGCCUGACCGAGCCACGCCGCGUGAGUGAUGAAGGUCUUCGGAUCGUAAAACCCUGUUAUUAGGGAAGAACAACAGUGUAAGUAUCUGUGCCCGUCUUGACGGUACCUAAUCAAAAAGCAACGGCUAACUACGUG
Molecule: ribosomal RNA, 497 nt
Filed under: uncultured bacterium
Lineage: Bacteria
Description: partial 16S ribosomal RNA
Rfam family: Bacterial small subunit ribosomal RNA
Source: RNAcentral